This is a long non-coding RNA of Lycium barbarum (goji berry), 273 nucleotides long. RefSeq lists it as uncharacterized. NCBI's taxonomy places the organism in Eukaryota, Viridiplantae, Streptophyta, Magnoliopsida, Solanales, Solanaceae. The transcript has 3 exons. The record is from RefSeq and is a predicted model, not a curated record.
UACGCACUAAAGAAGUGCCCUCCGUCAAAGUCCUGUGGCGCAACAAUAAUCGGGAGGAGAUGACUUGGGAGGCGGAGGACGAGAUGAAAAGGAAAUACCCUCACUUGUUCCCGACGUCCACAGUGUACUCAAGAAGCUCUUCAACGUGAUAUAAUUUAUUUGGCGGAAGAAUCACGUUUGCGACAAGUCGGAUUUUCAAGAAAAGAUUCUGUACGAAACGGGACUUGAGUUUGUGGUGAGCAUAAGACGUCCAUAAGGUAUGUAAAGCUUCCC